UACGUAGGGUGCAAGCGUUGUCCGGAAUCAUUGGGCGUAAAGAGCGCGUAGGCGGUCCGGUAAGUCAGCUGUGAAAGUCAGGGGCUCAACCCUUGAAAGCCGGUUGAUACUGUCGGGCUAGAGUCCGGAAGAGGCGAGUGGAAUUCCCGGUGUAGCGGUGAAAUGCGCAGAUAUCGGGAGGAACACCAAUGGCGAAGGCAGCUCGCUGGGACGGUACUGACGCUGAGGCGCGAAAGCGUGGGGAGCAAACAGG
RNAcentral lists this ribosomal RNA (253 nucleotides) under uncultured bacterium. RNAcentral's name for it is "partial 16S ribosomal RNA". It matches the Rfam family "Bacterial small subunit ribosomal RNA", at positions 524 to 776 of the family's 1533-position model. The record is from RNAcentral.